AUUGAACGCUGGCGGCAUGCCUUACACAUGCAAGUCGAACGGCAGCACGGGAGCAAUCCUGGUGGCGAGUGGCGAACGGGUGAGUAAUAUAUCGGAACGUGCCCGGUCGUGGGGGAUAACGUAGCGAAAGCUACGCUAAUACCGCAUACGAUCUACGGAUGAAAGCGGGGGAUCGCAAGACCUCGCGCGAUUGGAGCGGCCGAUAUCAGAUUAGGUAGUUGGUGAGGUAAAGGCUCACCAAGCCGACGAUCUGUAGCUGGUCUGAGAGGACGACCAGCCACACUGGACUGAGACACGGCCCAGACUCCUACGGGAGGCAGCAGUGGGGAAUUUUGGACAAUGGGCGCAAGCCUGAUCCAGCAAUGCCGCGUGCAGGAUGAAGGCCUUCGGUU
Molecule: ribosomal RNA, 392 nt
Filed under: uncultured bacterium
Lineage: Bacteria
Description: bacterial SSU rRNA
Rfam family: Bacterial small subunit ribosomal RNA
Source: RNAcentral